Molecule: ribosomal RNA, 497 nt
Filed under: uncultured bacterium
Lineage: Bacteria
Description: partial 16S ribosomal RNA
Rfam family: Bacterial small subunit ribosomal RNA
Source: RNAcentral
GAUGAACGCUGGCGGCGUGCCUAAUACAUGCAAGUCGAGCGAACGGACGAGAAGCUUGCUUCUCUGAUGUUAGCGGCGGACGGGUGAGUAACACGUGGAUAGCCUACCUAUAAGACUGGGAUAACUUCGGGAAACCGUAGCUAAUACCGGAUAAUAUUUUGAACCGCAUGGUUCAAAAGUGAAAGACGGUCUUGCCGUCACUUAUAGAUGGAUCCGCGCUGCAUUAGCUAGUUGGUAAGGUAACGGCUUACCAAGGCAACGAUGCAUAGCCGACCUGAGAGGGUGAUCGGCCACACUGGAACUGAGACACGGUCCAGACUCCUACGGGAGGCAGCAGUAGGGAAUCUUCCGCAAUGGGCGAAAGCCUGACGGAGCAACGCCGCGUGAGUGAUGAAGGUCUUCGGAUCGUAAAACUCUGUUAUUAGGGAAGAACAUAUGUGUAAGUAACUGUGCACAUCUUGACGGUACCUAAUCAGAAAGCCACGGCUAACUACGUG